Podarcis lilfordi (Lilford's wall lizard) is the source of this 67-nucleotide non-coding RNA. The record is from the annotation of a GenBank genome assembly. NCBI's taxonomy places the organism in Eukaryota, Metazoa, Chordata, Lepidosauria, Squamata, Lacertidae.
GGAUAGCUCAGCUGGUAGAGCAUGACACUUCAUCUCAGGGUUGUGGGUUCGAGCCCCACGUUGGACA